RNAcentral lists this ribosomal RNA (467 nucleotides) under uncultured bacterium. Its description in RNAcentral is "partial 16S ribosomal RNA". It matches the Rfam family "Bacterial small subunit ribosomal RNA", at positions 28 to 507 of the family's 1533-position model. The record is from RNAcentral.
GACGAACGCUGGCGGCGUGCUUAACACAUGCCAGUCGAACGGAAAGGCCCUGCUUUUGUGGGGUGCUCGAGUGGCGAACGGGUGAGUAACACGUGAGUAACCUGCCCUUGACUUUGGGAUAACUUCAGGAAACUGGGGCUAAUACCGGAUAGGAGCUCCUGCUGCAUGGUGGGGGUUGGAAAGUUUCGGCGGUUGGGGAUGGACUCGCGGCUUAUCAGCUUGUUGGUGGGGUAGUGGCUUACCAAGGCUUUGACGGGUAGCCGGCCUGAGAGGGUGACCGGCCACAUUGGGACUGAGAUACGGCCCAGACUCCUACGGGAGGCAGCAGUGGGGAAUAUUGCACAAUGGGCGGAAGCCUGAUGCAGCAACGCCGCGUGCGGGAUGACGGCCUUCGGGUGGUAAACCGCUUUCGCCUGUGACGAAGCGUGAGUGAGGUAAUGGGUAAAGAAGCACCGGCUAACUACGUG